AUUCCGUACAAAAAAAAUUAGUUCCGUUACUAAUCGAAACUUCUUCGCGUGAGUCAAGAAGAAAAGAGGUAGAAAAGAAUAAAGAAACCGGAACAAAACAGCCAAUCUUUGGAACGAACAUGCUUUCCUCUUCCCAGUAGUCUCCAGAUCACUAUAUGUAAGGCCCUAAUCAUGCGAAACAAGUUUAGCGAUGCCAUGUUCUGUUCUGAUGUUCAUGUCUCGCCAGUCGUCCCCGAGGUACUUCUUCCUGGCAACGCGAAAGAAAUACCUUGUCUGCCACAAAGUAGGACAUCGUGAUACAUAACAGUUUGAAAAAUAAUUUGUGUUUCUAUUUCGGCGGUUCGUUUUCUAUGUAUGCGAAGAUACUUCAAGAUCUGUCCUCAAAUUAUAUAAACAAUUAGAACUUCACGACACGGCUUUCAGAGACUGCCAGUGUACAGAAUUUGGACACUGUUGAAGUUAAAAACGUAAAUUUGUAUAACAAAAAUAAUUAAAAAAUUAAUUUGCAGUGAAACAAUCAGUGUUUGUUAAAUCUGUUGCAUUGUGUUCAGCAUUAUCCGGGUAUUGGAAGAUGCAGUUGCCACUUGCUUAAGCAUCAUACCAUUAGAAUACAUGGGGAAGUGAUGGAGAAGUUCCACAUAAGCUUACUCUCAGCAGUAGACAAAGGCACAGAUCCUGCCCCAUUUCCAGUUCGACUCUCUGUUGGCGAGUUUCUUGAUCCUGUUGGGGAAUCAGUAUCAAGUAAUGACGAUAAAAAGGUAUCCACUGCACCUCCUUUCUCUUCAUCUAGAACAUCCACUGAACUUCUUCUCAAUCUGCUACUUUCAAAAUAUCUGCUGGUGCUUUCAAAGUGAUUCCCAUCAUUUUGUUGAAAUGCUGGACUAUGUGCUGGGCUUGGUGAAUGUUUAAAGUAUGAGUCUUCUGAAGCCAUUUGAUGCCUUGAGUGAGACCCAAAACUGGAUGUGUACUGAGUUCCAGCUAACCAGCUUGCUGUGGUACAAGUGAUACUCUGUACAGAGAUCCUCCAAGAGACUCCAUUCGGUGUGGAACAGAACAUCCACCUGAUACAAUGUCUACGCACACAUCCCCCAAACCACCUGUACCAGAG
Non-coding RNA from Zootermopsis nevadensis, 1108 nucleotides. Lineage: Eukaryota; Metazoa; Arthropoda; Insecta; Blattodea; Termopsidae. The record is from RefSeq and is a predicted model, not a curated record.